UUUAGUACUAAAUUAAGCAUUUAGCCGAUCAAAUUUACGGCUGAAUUCCCAUAUUCUCCCGAUCGUUCUACAAUAUGAAUUCAGAAAAGUCCUCCAAUUUCUCAUUCUCUCUCCCUCUCACUAAGUCAGCAGACCCGUCGUCCUCUUCACCUACCAAGCCUUUUGCGGUCAAACCGGCCCGUCGGUGUCGAGUCCAACCAUAUAGAUUUGACUCCUCCUUCUCCCUCACUAUCUCUCUCACUGCUUCCCCUUUUUUAGCCUUUUCUUGUUAAAGAUUAUCAACAGAUUGAAGCUUCAGGUCUCACGGUCAUCAAGCAAUUUUAAAGAGAUAGACCCAAAUUAAUUCAAGGUAACAUUUAGGUAGUCAAUUGGGUAGUUAAAAUUUUUAGUUUUUGAUGAAAGUGACCUAUUUCAUUAUGGAAAAUAGUGAUCACCUGAGUUAAGAAAAAUCAUUAAUUUUCUUUUUCUUUUAACUUUUUAUUGCAUAAGUUUAGAUUAUGCUUAAGGUGCCCAGUGAAUUAGACCCAUUUUUUAAUUUCAGUUCUUUGGUACUUGAGCUGUCGAAUCACUGUUUAAUAUUUAAGGGCUCAGAAUAUUAUUUUUGUUGCUUCAAAGAGUUAAAGGUGAAUCAAUGGUAGCAGCAAAAGUUGCCCAUUUCUUUGCAUUUGUUCACUGUAUUAAUUAUUAUGGCAUUGAAUUGAAAGCUUUUAGUUGAUACUGGGUUUGGUUUCUACUAUAGUUAUGUGGCUGUGAGAUGUAAAAUUUCACCUUUACUGGAAAUUUGUUCAAGUUCAUUUGAGUUUUAACUUGUUUCAGAGUUUUAUGAGGCAAUGCAAAAUUCGGAUAAAUUUAAGAAGUAUUAUUUUAUACACUGACAAUAUAUUAGAUAGUUUUUUUAAGUUUAGUUUGUUCCUUGUUUCUUUGGCCACAAGGGAUAAAAAUGUUCAUCCUUGAGACACAGAUUUUACUAUUAGAAGAAUAUGUGUUUUACUUCUUGAUUAAUGGCUUCAUGUGGUCAUUUCAUCUUGAUAGCAUUCCCUCUAAACAAAAGGUUUGCUAGAGCUGGACUUUUACAGGGCUAUCCUCAUUUUGUUGUUUAUAUGUUGCGCUCUUUGCUGAUGCUUAUGUUUGAUAUAUUAUAUUGCUUGCUUUCAUUCCACUAGUGAAAAAGAUAAAAUGGUAAUCCUAAAUUCAAUGAAAUGAUAAUGGCCUGUAAUCAGGGGCAAAGUGAGGGGGGUGGCUGGGCUUACCAAAUUUUGUGCCACCAAUCAGUUUGUUGAACUCUAUAAUUAGUUAACUUUUUAGUCCAAAACUUAAGUACUAAUUAGAUUUUCUUUUGGUAUUCUUUAUCUAAGAUUACAGUUAAAUCUUUAAGUUAUGAAUUUACCUUCUCAAUCAAUCUAAUAAAUAUGUUGACACUAAUUAUUACAUCAAGACUUACAAAAGAAACUACAUUAAAUUAAAGAAAAUUUAGUUGCUAUAAUUUGCAAACAAACUUAAUCGACCAUGUAACUUUCUUCGUUUAUUAGAUACCUCCUAUCAAGCUUUAAUUGUUUAAAAGUUAUGUAAUUACUGUUUUAUCUUUAAAGAAGAAAUUAUUAGUUUGAUCUUUUUUUUUAAUCCUUUAUGUGGACAAUAUGAAUAACAAUAUGUGAAUAUAUAUAUAUAUAUAUUACUUAUUAAAAGAAAUUUAUACAUUAAAUUCAUUUGAAUUUAGCACACUUUUUGUUAAAAGUUAUCUUUACUUAACAUUUAUUUUUAUUUUUAUACUGGCACCCCUAGAUGUUUGCACCUGUCUAUAAAUGAUGUCUAGUCUUAACCUUUAAAUGAGUAUCAUCAAGUUGCAAUAGACAAGAGUUAUUAGUCGUAUCCUUUGAAUGAGUAUCAAGUUCCAAUAGUCAAGAGUUAUUCAGCAUAAUGAUAGUUGAAAGAUUCAUGCUUUCUUUCUUUGAGGCUUCUUUGAAACAGAAUGCUGAAUUGAUAGAACCGAGUACAAAGGUGAACUCUAUUGCUAUUCCCAUGAUCUUUUGAAGAAUGGCUCCCAAUCAAAUAAAUGCGUGUCUUUUCUUGAAAUUAGGGAUGGCAAUGGUAGGGUAUACAAGGGUAUCAGGCACUAUCCGACCAAUUUAAUUAGGAUUAGGAUACCCUAUAAACAGGUUUAGGUAGGGUAUGGGUAAUAAGCUUAGGGUAUCCACCACCUGAGCGUGAUUAUAAAUAAUGGGUUUUUUAAUUUUUUUUUAAUAUUUAUAUUACUUAUAGUUGACAAAUCAUUUACUACAAUUUAUAAAGUGAAGGGAUUAACUUACACCAAUGUAAAACUAAAAUGUUUUAUACUUUUUUUUUAACCAUUGAUUUCAAUAUAUCCAAAGGAUAAGAGAGUCAAGUGAAAAAGAAAAAAAUGAUUUAAUCUCAUCCCUUAUAUCUAUUAAAAUCAAUGGAUAGAAAAAAGUGUAAAAUUUUUUGGUGUAAGUUGAUCCCUUCCCAUUUAUAAAUGAUCUAUAUGAAGUAUAUUUUUAAAAUUAUUAAUUUAAUUUUGAUUAAUAAAACAUAUAAAAAUAAUUUAAAAUAUUUUUUAUUAUUGAAUUUGGCCUGGUCGGGUUUUUUUUAAAGGGUACACGUACUCUUUUUAACUAAAUAAAGAGUUUUAAUAAGGUGUUGCUAAACAAGUUCGGAUAGGGUAUUGGUAUUGCUUUUGGUAAUUGGAUUUGCAUAUGUGUAUCUCAAAAUUAGUGGGUAUCCUAACCGUUGUCAUCCCUGACUGAAAUGGUGAUCUCCAUCUAAGCAUCUUUUAGUUUUGGAGUCAACAGGCUGUUGUAAGAAACAAUCAGGUUUUUCUUUACAUUUGGCUCUCUCUUUCACUUACAAAAUGACGUUUACACACACUGGAAAUAAGUAGGAGAAAAUUUUCCAUCUACUCUGCUGAUAAUUAAUUUUACUGGUUAUUUUUCUGAAUUUAAGGGAGAAGUUGAACUUCUCAACCUAGGCUUUAGAUUGCAGCUUUGUAUUGUAUGAGAAAUGUUUUGACCUUAUAUUCUUUUUAGUACAUACUUGUGGGUACUGGUUAAGAUGCUACAUAUCAGAAAAUUUGUUUUUGUUUUAAUUUUUUAAUACAUUGUCUAGAUUCAGAUUGGCUGGUAUGUUGCUCAAGUAUAUUUUCUUUGAUACACAUACCUUCUUGAAAGUUAUCAUGGAUAAUAUUGUUUUAAAAAUAUAAAACAUAUGUUAAUGUAGUUCAUUGUUUAUGCUUGUAGGUGAAUGGUAGGGGCAGUAGCCCCAAGAACUGUGCCUCAACACUCUAGAUUUUGUGAAGCCACAUCAUCUCACUUUUUCACUAAAAACCAAUUGCCUGUUGCUACAAGUUGCCUAGCUGCAAGUGUAAAUGAAAUGAAAAUUUGACCAUGAUAAGAAAUGGUAAAACAUGCUUUUAAAGAUUUUAAAAUACUAUACCAUCGCACGCUCCAUAUAAAGAAAAUGGAAAAAAAAAGAG
This 3487-nucleotide long non-coding RNA is filed under the name Durio zibethinus. RNAcentral's name for it is "long non-coding RNA (DZIB_LNC000808)". Lineage: Eukaryota; Viridiplantae; Streptophyta; Magnoliopsida; Malvales; Malvaceae. The record is from RNAcentral.